GGAGAGACUCUCCUAUGGGUGCAGGUAGCGGUCCCGAAAACCGUGCGGCGGCGACGAGCCGUCGUGGGAGUUCGAAUCUCCCUCUCUCCG
This 90-nucleotide transfer RNA is filed under the name Myxococcales bacterium. RNAcentral describes it as "tRNA-Ser". It matches the Rfam family "tRNA". Rfam says of the family: Transfer RNA (tRNA) molecules are approximately 80 nucleotides in length. Their secondary structure includes four short double-helical elements and three loops (D, anti-codon, and T loops). Further hydrogen bonds mediate the characteristic L-shaped molecular structure. tRNAs have two regions of fundamental functional importance: the anti-codon, which is responsible for specific mRNA codon recognition, and the 3' end, to which the tRNAs corresponding amino acid is attached (by aminoacyl-tRNA synthetases). tRNAs cope with the degeneracy of the genetic code in two manners: having more than one tRNA (with a specific anti-codon) for a particular amino acid; and 'wobble' base-pairing, i.e. permitting non-standard base-pairing at the 3rd anti-codon position. Lineage: Bacteria; Pseudomonadati; Myxococcota; Myxococcia; Myxococcales. The record is from RNAcentral.